RNAcentral lists this ribosomal RNA (1058 nucleotides) under Pseudolaubuca sinensis. RNAcentral describes it as "partial 16S ribosomal RNA". It matches the Rfam family "Bacterial large subunit ribosomal RNA", at positions 194 to 2035 of the family's 2925-position model. Lineage: Eukaryota; Metazoa; Chordata; Actinopteri; Cypriniformes; Xenocyprididae. The record is from RNAcentral.
UGUUAAUAACAAAGCACAACCUAGCACCACAAAUUAAACCAUUUUUUUACCUAAGUAUGGGAGACAGAAAAGGUACAACCUAGAGCGAUAGAGAAAGUACCGCAAGGGAAAGCUGAAAGAGAAAUGAAACAACCCAUAUAAGCACUAAAAAACAGAGACUAGACCUUGUACCUUUUGCAUCAUGAUUUAGCCAGCACCCCCAAGCAAAGAGACCUUCAGUUUGAAACCCCGAAACCAGGUGAGCUACCCCGAGACAGCCUAUUUAAAUUUAGGGCUAACCCGUCUCUGUGGCAAAAGAGUGGGAAGAGCUCCGGGUAGAAGUGACAGACCUACCGAACCUGGUGAUAGCUGGUUGCCUGAGAAGUGGAUAGAAGUUCAGCCUCAUACGCCCCAAAUCAGAAGACAUAAUACUAAGAUCAAGAGAAAUAUAUGAGAGUUAGUUAAAGGGGGUACAGCCCCUUUAACGAAGGAUACAACCUUCACAGAAGGAUAAAGACCAUAAUAUAUAAAAUACACUGUUUUAGUGGGCCUAAAAGCAGCCAUCUAAACAGAAAGCGUUAAAGCUCAGACAGAGAGAAGUUUAUUAUACUGAUAAGAAAAUCUUAUUCCCCUAGCAGUAUCAGGCCAACCCAUGCUCACAUGGAAGAGAUAAUGCUAAAAUGAGUAACAAGAAGACCCGAUCUUCUCCAAGCACAAGUGUAAACCAGAUCGGACAAGCCACUGGAAAUUAACGAACCCAACCAAAGAGAGUAAUGUGGACAACAAAAAAACCAAGAAAACCCCACAAUUGGAUGAUCGUUAAUCCCACACUGGAGUGCUAUUUUAAAGGAAAGACUAAAAGAAAGGGAAGGAACUCGGCAAACACAAGCCUCGCCUGUUUACCAAAAACAUCGCCUCCUGCAACUAACCUUAGUAUAGGAGGUCCAGCCUGCCCAGUGACUACGGGUUCAACGGCCGCGGUAUUUUGACCGUGCAAAGGUAGCGCAAUCACUUGUCUUUUAAAUAGAGACCUGUAUGAAUGGCUAGACGAGGGCUUAACUGUCUCCCCCUUCAAGUCA